RNAcentral lists this transfer RNA (361 nucleotides) under uncultured Microcystis sp. RNAcentral describes it as "partial 16S-23S ribosomal RNA intergenic spacer". The stretch from base 136 to 209 matches the Rfam family "tRNA". Lineage: Bacteria; Bacillati; Cyanobacteriota; Cyanophyceae; Chroococcales; Microcystaceae. The record is from RNAcentral.
AAAGGGAGACCUAAUUCAGGUAGGAGACGAAAAAAAAGUAGUCGCUACCAAGAAUCAAUCCCAAAAGGUCGGAGCGAGGCGAAAUUGGCUUUCAAACUAGGUUCUGGGUUCAAACAAGACCUGAAUCAGGAACAAGGGCUAUUAGCUCAGGUGGUUAGAGCGCACCCCUGAUAAGGGUGAGGUCCCUGGUUCGAGUCCAGGAUGGCCCACCUGCACAGGUGGCAAAAACAAGAGAAGCGAGGAAUCAGCACCUUAUCUUACUUAUAUAGUAAGAGAGAAUGCUGGCUCUGAGUAAAGAGUCCAGAGGAACCUUGAAAACUGCAUAGAGCUAGGUGAAAAAGCCAAAAAAGAAGACCGCAAG